CAUUAUUGAAUUAAACCUGAUAAGUUGUUGCUGGUUCUCUAGGGACUCUGUGCACACUUGUCAUCUUUAUAUCUCCACCUGUGCACCUUUUGUAGACCUGGAUGUCUCUCCAAGUAGUGAUUUUUUGCACCUUGGGUUUUGAGGAUUGACUUUAUUGUCUCUACCUUACAUUUCUAGGUCUAUGUUUUUAUCAUAUACCCCAAUUUAUGUUAUAGAAUGUAAUACAUGGGACUUUGUGCCUAUAAACUUUAUACAACUUUCAGCAACGGAUCUCUUGGCUCUCGCAUCGAUGAAGAACGCAGCGAAAUGCGAUAAGUAAUGUGAAUUGCAGAAUUCAGUGAAUCAUCGAAUCUUUGAACGCACCUUGCGCUCCUUGGUAUUCCGAGGAGCAUGCCUGUUUGAGUGUCAUUAAUAUAUCAACCUCUUCAGCUUUUGCUUGUUUGAGUGUUGGAUGUGGGGGUGUCCUUUGUUGGCUUCUAUGAAGUCAGCUCCCCUCAAAUGUAUUAGCAGAAUAAUUUGUUAAUCCUGUUCAUUGGUGUGAUAAUUAUCUACGCUAUUGACAGGGAAAGCAGUUCAGCUUCUAAUAGUCCAUUGACUUGGACAAAAUUUUCAUUAAUGUGACCUCAAAUCAGGUAGGACUACCCGCUGAACUUAAGCAUAU
Molecule: ribosomal RNA, 661 nt
Filed under: uncultured Cortinarius
Lineage: Eukaryota; Fungi; Basidiomycota; Agaricomycetes; Agaricales; Cortinariaceae
Description: eukaryotic LSU rRNA
Rfam family: 5.8S ribosomal RNA (bases 255-408)
Source: RNAcentral